GCUUCUUGAAUGAACAAGGCACGCAUCUGUGAGUAGAUCAGACUAUCAUUAGGAGUAGAAGAAAGAGGCUACCACAUUAAUAGUACUUCUAGAAAUUUGGUGAAAUUGUGAGGCAAUUUUCAUCAGUGAUGGCAGAAACAAAUGCAAAGACUGGGGGCUAAUUCUCAGGAGCCCAAAGCUGAAAGACUUUAAAAAUUUAAAAGAAAUUUUGGAUUUUUAAAGAGACAGGAUAUUUUGUUAAGGAGACAACUUUUAAUGUGUUUGAAUUGAAAUAACUUGCGACUCUGUAUUCACCACUGGGGUCUACAGCAUGUCAUAGGACUCUCCUCAAGCUGUCUGAUAAUCAUGUUCCCAAUUGAAAUAGCUUCAAGGAAGAAGAUGUGCCCCAAAACUUCCUUAUAUGGUUACCGGCAGGGCUAGAUCCCUUACUGCAGAGCUCUGACUAUAGCAUGUCCAUGCCAACUGGAAGACUUUUUUUUUUUAAGGAGGAAUCAAUCAAAAACUUGAUGUAACAAAGCAUGUUUGAGACUGUUGGAGUAG
Molecule: long non-coding RNA, 540 nt
Filed under: Mus pahari (shrew mouse)
Lineage: Eukaryota; Metazoa; Chordata; Mammalia; Rodentia; Muridae
Description: lncRNA (MGP_PahariEiJ_G0005722.1)
Source: RNAcentral